Molecule: ribosomal RNA, 660 nt
Filed under: uncultured bacterium
Lineage: Bacteria
Description: bacterial SSU rRNA
Rfam family: Bacterial small subunit ribosomal RNA
Source: RNAcentral
UGACUCAGUACGAAGCUAACGCGUGAAGUUGACCGCCUGGGGAGUACGGCCGCAAGGUUGAAACUCAAAAGGAAUUGACGGGGACCCGCACAAGCGGUGGAUGAUGUGGUUUAAUUCGAUGCAACGCGAAAAACCUUACCUACCCUUGACAUGUCAAGAAUUCUGCAGAGAUGUGGAAGUGCUCGAAAGAGAACCUGCACACAGGUGCUGCAUGGCUGUCGUCAGCUCGUGUCGUGAGAUGUUGGGUUAAGUCCCGCAACGAGCGCAACCCUUGUCAUUAGUUGCUACGAAAGGGCACUCUAAUGAGACUGCCGGUGACAAACCGGAGGAAGGUGGGGAUGACGUCAAGUCCUCAUGGCCCUUAUAGGUGGGGCUACACACGUCAUACAAUGGCCGGUACAAAGGGCAGCCAACCCGCGAGGGGGAGCCAAUCCCAUAAAGCCGGUCGUAGUCCGGAUCGCAGUCUGCAACUCGACUGCGUGAAGUCGGAAUCGCUAGUAAUCGCAAAUCAGAAUGUUGCGGUGAAUACGUUCCCGGGCCUUGUACACACCGCCCGUCACACCAUGGGAGUUUGUUGCACCAGAAGUAGCUAGCCUAACUGCAGAGGGCGGUUACCACGGUGUGGCCGAUGACUGGGGUGAAGUCGUAACAAGGUAACCA